Molecule: ribosomal RNA, 437 nt
Filed under: uncultured Clostridium sp.
Lineage: Bacteria; Bacillati; Bacillota; Clostridia; Eubacteriales; Clostridiaceae
Description: partial 16S ribosomal RNA
Rfam family: Bacterial small subunit ribosomal RNA
Source: RNAcentral
ACGGGAGGCAGCAGUGGGGAAUAUUAGGCAAUGGGGGCAACCCUGACCUAGCAACGCCGCGUGAAGGAAGAAGGCCUUCGGGUUGUAAACUUCUUUUAUAGGGGACGAAACAAAUGACGGUACCCUAUGAAUAAGCCACGGCUAACUACGUGCCAGCAGCCGCGGUAAUACGUAGGUGGCAGGCGUUGUCCGGAUUUGCUGGGUGUAAAGGGCGCGUAGGCGGGAUUGCAAGUCAGAUGUGAAAUCCAUGGGCUCAACCCAUGAACUGCAUUUGAAACUGUGAUUCUUGAGUAUCGGAGAGGCAAGCGGAAUACCUAGUGUAGCGGUGAAAUGCGUAGAUAUUAGGAAGAACACCGGUGGCGAAGGCGGCUUGCUGGACAGAGACUGACGCUGAGGCACGAAAGCGUGGGGAGCAAACAGGAUUAGAUACCCUGGUA